Molecule: ribosomal RNA, 520 nt
Filed under: uncultured Glomus
Lineage: Eukaryota; Fungi; Glomeromycota; Glomeromycetes; Glomerales; Glomeraceae
Description: SSU rRNA
Rfam family: Eukaryotic small subunit ribosomal RNA
Source: RNAcentral
AGCAGCAGCGGUAAUUCCAGCUCCAAUAGCGUAUAUUAAAGUUGCUGCAGUUAAAAAGCUCGUAGUUGAAUUUCGGGACCAUCAUGUCGGUCGUGCCUCGGUACGUACUGGCAUUGUUGGUUUCUACCUUCUGACGAACCAUGAUGUCAUUUAUUUGGUGUCGUGGAAAAUCAGGACUGUUACUUUGAAAAAAUUAGAGUGUUUAAAGCAGGCUCACGCUUGAAUACAUUAGCAUGGAAUAAUGAAAUAGGACGUUUGAUUCUAUUUUGUUGGCUUCUAGGAUCGACGUAAUGAUUAAUAGGGAUAGUUGGGGGCAUUAGUAUUCAAUUGUCAGAGGUGAAAUUCUUGGAUUUAUUGAAGACUAACUACUGCGAAAGCAUUUGCCAAGGAUGUUUUCAUUAAUCAAGAACGAAAGUUAGGGGAUCGAAGACGAUCAGAUACCGUCGUAGUCUUAACCAUAAACUAUGCCGACUAGGGAUCGGAUGAUGUUAAUUUUUUCAAUGACUCAUUCGGCGCCUUA